AGUUCCGACCUGCACGAAUGGCGUAACGAUGGCCAUACUGUCUCCAACCGAGACUCAGUGAAAUUGAAAUUGCUGUGAAGAUGCAGUGUACGCGCGGCUAGACGGAAAGACCCCGUGCACCUUUACUACAGCUUUACACUGAACUUUGAAUCUAAUUGUGUAGGAUAGCUGGGAGCCUUUGAAGCUGAUGCGCUAGCAUUAGUGGAGGCAACCUUGAAAUACCAGCCUAUUAUCUUUGGAGUUCUAACCCAGGACCGUUAUCCGGUUCGGAGACAGUGUAUGGUGGGUAGUUUGACUGGGGCGGUCUCCUC
This 311-nucleotide ribosomal RNA is filed under the name Oxyrrhis marina. Its description in RNAcentral is "partial Bacterial large subunit ribosomal RNA". It matches the Rfam family "Bacterial large subunit ribosomal RNA", at positions 1979 to 2289 of the family's 2925-position model. Lineage: Eukaryota; Dinophyceae; Oxyrrhinales; Oxyrrhinaceae. The record is from RNAcentral.